GACCUGAUAGCUCAGUUGGUAGAGCACCUCCCUUUUAAGGAGGUGGUCCUGGGUUCGAGCCCCAGUCAGGUCA
Molecule: transfer RNA, 73 nt
Filed under: Ulvibacter litoralis
Lineage: Bacteria; Pseudomonadati; Bacteroidota; Flavobacteriia; Flavobacteriales; Flavobacteriaceae
Also listed under: 9 other names
Rfam family: tRNA
About the family: Transfer RNA (tRNA) molecules are approximately 80 nucleotides in length.
Source: Rfam by way of RNAcentral